CGGGUUUACUCCUGGAUAUUACCGAUACAUCCGGCUUACACCGGACGGUUUUGGUGUCUGAUUCGGUACGAAUCGGGAGCACCUCUGCGUAGGCGUUCUUGUUUAAGGCUUGCGCCGCCUACGGUCUUGGAAAGCCCCCGCCAGGCAGGGACCCCAAUACAGCAGAGCCAGCUUUAAUUAAGACUG
Molecule: small RNA, 186 nt
Filed under: Azomonas agilis
Lineage: Bacteria; Pseudomonadati; Pseudomonadota; Gammaproteobacteria; Pseudomonadales; Pseudomonadaceae
Description: Pseudomonas sRNA P27
Rfam family: Pseudomonas sRNA P27
Source: Rfam by way of RNAcentral